This 384-nucleotide ribosomal RNA is filed under the name Archaeperidinium sp. RNAcentral's name for it is "SSU rRNA". It matches the Rfam family "Eukaryotic small subunit ribosomal RNA", at positions 587 to 975 of the family's 1831-position model. The record is from RNAcentral. Lineage: Eukaryota; Dinophyceae; Peridiniales; Amphidiniopsidaceae.
AGCUCCAAUAGCGUAUAUUGAAGUUGCUGCGGUUGAAAAGCUCGUAGUUGGAUUUCUGCCGAGGACGACCGGUCCGCCCUCUGGGUGAGCACCUGGUUCGGCCUGGGCAUCUUCCUGGGGAGCGUGGCUGUACUUGACUGUGUGGCGCGGUGUCUGGGACUUUUACUUUGAGGAAAUUAGAGUGUUUCAAGCAGGCUCACGCCUUGAAUACAUUAGCAUGGAAUAAUAAGAUAGGACCUUGGUUUUAUUUUGUUGGUUUCUAGAGCUGAGGUAAUGAUUAAUAGGGAUAGUUGGGGGCAUUCGUAUUUAACUGUCAGAGGUGAAAUUCUUGGAUUUGUUAAGGACGGACUACUGCGAAAGCAUUUGCCAAGAAUGUUUUCAUUG